RNAcentral lists this ribosomal RNA (497 nucleotides) under uncultured bacterium. RNAcentral's name for it is "partial 16S ribosomal RNA". It matches the Rfam family "Bacterial small subunit ribosomal RNA", at positions 28 to 507 of the family's 1533-position model. The record is from RNAcentral.
GAUGAACGCUGGCGGCGUGCCUAAUACAUGCAAGUCGAGCGAACAGACGAGGAGCUUGCUCCUCUGACGUUAGCGGCGGACGGGUGAGUAACACGUGGAUAACCUACCUAUAAGACUGGGAUAACUUCGGGAAACCGGAGCUAAUACCGGAUAAUAUAUUGAACCGCAUGGUUCAAUAGUGAAAGACGGUUUUGCUGUCACUUAUAGAUGGAUCCGCGCCGCAUUAGCUAGUUGGUAAGGUAACGGCUUACCAAGGCAACGAUGCGUAGCCGACCUGAGAGGGUGAUCGGCCACACUGGAACUGAGACACGGUCCAGACUCCUACGGGAGGCAGCAGUAGGGAAUCUUCCGCAAUGGGCGAAAGCCUGACGGAGCAACGCCGCGUGAGUGAUGAAGGUCUUCGGAUCGUAAAACACUGUUAUUAGGGAAGAACAAAUGUGUAAGUAACUAUGCACGUCUUGACGGUACCUAAGCAGAAAGCCACGGCUAACUACGUG